RNAcentral lists this unclassified non-coding RNA (266 nucleotides) under air metagenome. RNAcentral describes it as "partial contains small subunit ribosomal RNA, internal transcribed spacer 1, and 5.8S ribosomal RNA". The stretch from base 1 to 46 matches the Rfam family "Eukaryotic small subunit ribosomal RNA", at positions 1786 to 1831 of the family's 1831-position model. The record is from RNAcentral.
AAGUCGUAACAAGGUUUCCGUAGGUGAACCUGCGGAAGGAUCAUUAUUGAAUUUGAAAAGGGUUGUAGCUGGCCUUUCAUGAGGCAUGUGCACGCCCUGCUUCAUCCACUUUACACCUGUGCACACUUUGUAGGCUCAGAUGAGUGCCGGGGCUUUUUGACCUGGUGUGAGUCUGGCCUAUGUCUUUACACACUCUGAUCAGUCAAUGAAUGUCAUCGCGUUAAACGCAUUUUAUACAACUUUCAGCAACGGAUCUCUUGGCUCUC